This is a long non-coding RNA of Triticum dicoccoides, 1192 nucleotides long. RefSeq lists it as uncharacterized. Lineage: Eukaryota; Viridiplantae; Streptophyta; Magnoliopsida; Poales; Poaceae. The transcript has 2 exons. The record is from RefSeq and is a predicted model, not a curated record.
GGAAUCAACCUUCCGCCGAGCCUCGUCCAACCAGUCGAACACAGGGCGAAACUUUGUGUCAUCAUCGUUUCUGUUAUUUGCCAAUUUCAUCGCGUUUCUAAUUUAUCCUUUUUCUAAGAUUUGCGCUCUUUCGCCGCACUCUUCUCGUGUUCAAGAUCGGAUCGCCACCGAGCGGAUCUGGAGCUUUUCGAAGAGGUGCUAUAUCACACAGAGGAUCUAUGGACAUGUGGCUUCUCCCAUUAGAUUCUCGCAUUUUCUCUGAAUUGGAUUUCGAUGGCUGGUGAUGAUUCAGGUCCGAAAGGAUCUUAGCGGAUUUCGGUGAGGCGGACUUGUCUGCCGUUGAUCGAUUCAUGUUGUUACACAUUCUGAAGCCCGCUCCUUCCAUUAUCUUCUGCUGAUUUCGUUCUUGUUUUCAUUUAUUAUCCUGGUAGUUCUAGUGAUGUGAUGAUGAUUCAUAGAGGUUUUUGGCAGUGGUGUUAUCUGUCACCAUGAGCCUUCUAACCAAAAACGAUUUCUCUUUCCACUGAGCAUUGCUUAAUUUUGUGUUCAUCUUUUCUUUUUGCUGUUGGUGAAGAACUCAGACCAGGAAGUGCCGUAUGGCACUCUAAAUAGCAGCUGCUCUGCCGCUGUAAGUGGUCCAUCCCUGUAUCAUAACCUCUGGUUUUUUCUGGGGUGGAAAUCCCAUUUGCAACCGCUUUUUUCAGCCGUGUGAAUUAUUUGAAACGGGUGUCUGAGGGCAAUCCUCUCUGCUGUUUUCUUGGCCCUGAUGCCACGUCUCUGGUUGCCACAAGCCUUCAACGGAGAUGCUACAUUGUGCUGAUAGAGAUUUUCACAUUCGAUAAGAACCCGUGGUUGUGAUUCAGGCGGUACACAGGGCUGUUUUGUGUGAUUACAUUUCUUGCUUGACGUGAGUAUUCAGUGUUGCUGAUUUUAAAUUGAGGAAAAUAAUGGCAAUGAUGAUUGAACAAAGGCUUGUUUCUCAAAACAUUCACAGAUGCCGCAUAAGAGCUUUCGCCCUGCCAGGCUUGAGAGCUAAUGCUGCUAAUUCCUUCCUUGGAUGUCUGAGUCAUGUUGAUUUGCCCAGUUUUUAUCUUUUUUUGGGUGCCUCUUAUCUUUGUCCUCAUAUAGGACAAUUCACCAAUUGCUGCAGAUAAUAAAUAAAUACAAUGUCUUGGGCCAUCAUUUGCCAGAA